UGGCUCUGGCCUGCCGCCGCAUGAUGCACGCGCCGCAGGUGCCGCAGCUCUGGCUGCUGCCGCUCGCAGCUGCGGGCACGGCUUGAGCGGGUCCCCCGCAAGCAGCGCCGCCAAGCAUCCUCAUGGCCCCGACACUUGUUGUUGCCAUCACUGUCCUCCCCCUCGUCGGUGGGCAGGAAUGGCGCGGCCGACGGCGAAACCAAUGCGGCAUUCGCGUAGAUCUACAUGAUCUUGUACCGCAGCUCCAUAUGUCGCACGUUCUUUCGAUGUCCCUUUGCCGAUCUGUUCGUGUCCUGCUCUGAUCUUGAGUGUUUGCAUCAGCAGGUGUACCCUCACGGAUCCAACUUGACUGGAUCCGUGGUCACUGGAUCCAUUGCCGCCGCAUCGUCCCCACUGGGAUGGGGAGAGGCGGCCCUCCCCUCCGUAUCCUCAUCCUCCUAAGAGGAGGGAAAUACAUUACCAUGUUUAUUGAUGACAACUAACAAGGUCCAUGAGACGGCUUGUCGACACUGCUGGAUUGGCUUAUCUACCAUGGUGCAUUGCUUUUAAUGCAAGAUCAAAAUUUGAAGAUGGCAACUAAGGGGUUGAUCCAUUACUUUUUUUGUUAGCUUCUAAUGUAUAAUGAAAUGUCACUGCAUAUUGUCUUGUAUCUUGUGAAAUUUGGUGUUGUAAUUCAGAAAAUGGGUUGUAAUUGCUUAUUGUGAUUUCUGGGAUGGAAAUAUUGUUUUAAUAAGUGGGCUUGAAAAACUGGUGGGCUGUUUUUUUU
This is a long non-coding RNA of Panicum virgatum (switchgrass), 766 nucleotides long. RefSeq lists it as uncharacterized. The transcript is spliced from 2 exons. The record is from RefSeq and is a predicted model, not a curated record. Lineage: Eukaryota; Viridiplantae; Streptophyta; Magnoliopsida; Poales; Poaceae.